Manis pentadactyla (Chinese pangolin) is the source of this 2798-nucleotide long non-coding RNA. RefSeq lists it as uncharacterized. NCBI's taxonomy places the organism in Eukaryota, Metazoa, Chordata, Mammalia, Pholidota, Manidae. The transcript has 4 exons. The record is from RefSeq and is a predicted model, not a curated record.
AAGUGUCUGUUCAGCUCCUCUGCCCAUUUUUUAAUGGGCUUAAUUGCUUUUUUUGUUUUUUGAGGUGCGUGAGCUCUUUACAUAAUUUGGAUGUCAACCCCUUAUUGGAUAUGUCAUUUAUGAAUAUAUUCUCCCAUACUGUAGGAUGUCUUUUUGUUCUACUAAUGGCGUCCUUUGCUAUACAGAAGCUUUUUAGUUUGAUUUAGUCCCAUUUGUUCAUUUUUGCUUUUGUUUCCCUGCCCAGGGAGAUAUGUUCAUGAAGAAGUUGCUCGUGUUUAUGUCCAAGAGAUUUUUGCCCAUAUUUUUUUCUAAGAGUUUUAUGGUUUCAUGACUUGCAUUUAGGUCUUUGAUCCAUUUUGAGUUUACUUUUGUGUAUGGGGUUAGACCCAGUUUUAUUCUCUUACAUGUAGCUGUUCAGUUUUGCCAACACCAGCUGUUGAAGAGACUGUCAUUUCCCCAUUGUAUAUCCGUGGCCUCUUUCAAAGAAGAAAGGAUCAGAUCCAAUAAUCAGAAGAAAUGGUUGCUGAAGUUAUUCUUCCCUGAAAAUAGCAAAGGAACUUACUUCUUCAUUCCUUCUUACUUAACAAUGGCAGUUGUAUGAUAGGUAAAUUUGUGGAUUGGUUUUUUUCUUUCAGCUAACUCUCCAGGCUAUGCAAAUUUAAAGUUUUAAAAGUAUAUUGUAAAGCAAAAUUUGGGCUAGGUCAGUAUGGAGAGAGUUUUGGAUUUGAGAAAUCAUUCAAUAUGUAAUUAUAAAAUUCACUUUUAAAAUCAUACUUUGGUAGAGAGUCAUAAAAAUAGAAAAUUAAAUGGUAUCCUUCUAAGGAGAAGAAAUUUGUAAAUGUGUUUUACACAACCUUAGCAAAUCAUUUUACCUAAUGUUUCAGUGAGGGUGUUAGUCAGAAUUCUUUAACCUACAGGUCACGCCAUCAUUCAUUUCUAUUAUCAACCUGAGUGCCACAGAUAGGUAACCCUGGAGGCAGAUAUUUAAAUUUUACUUUAAUAUUGGAAGUAAUCAGAAAUUUUAAGUUUUAAGUGAAUUUCUGCCUAAUCCUCUGAAAUGUUUAUUGUAAAUUUUGAAAACAAUGCCAUAAUAAUGGACUCAUAAUUCUUAUAUCUAUUACUGAUAGCAUAAAUUUUCUAUUUUUUAAAAAGUCACUUUUUUACAUUAUCACUAUAUGAAUUAAAAUAAAAUAUUUACUUAAUCAAAAUCUAAGACUCAAAAUAUUUUAAACACUCAUUUUUUAUUGUUAUUUUUGAGACAACUUUCUAAUUUAAUGCCAAAGUAGACAGUUGCUCUUAUCUUCAUAAUCAACACAGCGCACAACAAGGUACUUUGAUAUAAACUAAUUUCUUAGACUCAACACUGAAAAACCACUUGCUUGUCUCUUAUUCAUUCAUGGGAUUGAUCUUGCUUCCUUAGCAUGGCAGAAUGAUCUCAAGAAAUACUAACUCCAACCUUUGUCCAGAUAGGAUUACAGAAAUAGCAUCAGGUAGAUGGAACCAAAAAGUACGCGUGUGUUUACUGACUACUAAGGGAACACCAAAAAUCUAAGACCUGUUACUCAAAUAUUCCAGUGUGUAUAUGGUAAAGCAGUGGCUGUCAGCGAGGGAUGAUUUUUCCCCCGCGGGACAUUUGGCAAUAUCUGCAGACAUUUUCGGUUUUCAGAAAUGUGGAGAUGAUCCUUCUGGCACAAGAGGCCAAUAAAUGGCUACAUAGUCUGAGAUGCACUAGGUAGUCCCUGUACAUUAACAAAAGAAAAAGAAUUUUCCAGGCCAGCAUGUCAGUAGUGCUGCUGUUGGGAAACCCUGCAGCUGAGUAAGAGUGGACUUGGUCAUAUUAGCCUCUUAAGAACAUCUCAGAAGGUUGACAAUUUGCAUGAAUUUCACUUUAUAAAAUACCUGGAGACAUGUGGAUGAGUAAAUGAGUGUAUCUAAAACACCACCAGCGGGUGGACUUGGUAAUUGUAACAUUCUUAGGGAGAUUUAUCUGUUGGCCAGGGUAACUUCUUAUUUUUCUUUUUAUAUAAUCAUUUCUUAACAGCAUUCCUUUGUUUCAUAAUGUGAAGAUAAUGUAGCAGUUCAGACACAGUCUUCCUAGGAGGGAUCAUGUUUUGGAGAGACCACACAUGUAUAGUACAGCAUGUUACUAAGAACAUGUGUUUGGGGCACAGAUAAACCUGCAUUUGAAUCCCAGCUUCUCUACUUACCAUGUGUGUGACCUGUGAGGCCCAUUUCCCCAAGUGAAAUCUGAGGAUUGCUGUAACAGUGAAGUGAGCUACUUUGAAUUAAGCACUGGAUGCUUGGACAGAGGCUUUUAGGGGAAAUCUUCCCAGAAUUUAAUUCUUUUUUGACUAUUUUGGUGUGCAGGAAGAGUUCGGUGGAGCAAGAGAUUGUGAAACAUCACAUUUAAGAGCUUGCAAAUGCACAGUUCUGAAUAGUGACAUUUCAAAUAGAACAGUGCAAGGUUUAAUCUUGGAGGACCUACAUUUUCCUGUAAUCAUGGACAGGCAACCAGGAGAGAUUCUGCACAGCCUGUUCUGGUCCAGAGAGCCUCACUGUAGCUGGAAUCAAGCUCAAGUCAGUUUGUGGAUCACCACAUCAAAAGAAAUUGGAAACUGGAGUUUUGGUAAAUGCCACAUUUAAAUUACAUAACUUAGUAGUUCCCACACUGAUUUAUGGCACUAACCGUUUGUUUAAAGGUUGAUGAUGGUAAGGCUGGUUCUCAAAGAAAUCAACCUGAAGCCUACUUAAUCUAGUGCAGAGAAAUUUUAAGUGAGCCCUAGGGAAGAGCCAGUGUU